GCUGUCUUAAACCCUUACGCUCGCGUGGAUUACCAGUCUCGCAUUUGGGGCUGUCCCUUCUGUUACCAGAAAAAUUCUUUUCCAAUAUCUUAUUCGGGUAUUGGCGAAGCUAAUCUUCCAGCUGAGCUUUUCCCUACUUAUAGCACCGUAGAAUACAAAAUCGAUAAGAUCGAUGUCAAAUUUGCUUCCAGUUCGCAUUUGGGUUAUAGUUGGGCAAACGGGAUGUCUUCAUCUAAUACGUCUUUGUCGUCAAUGGCAUCAUUGGGGACUCCGAGAAUGUCAGCUGGUGUAGGUGCUGGUGGGGAGUUGAAGGGGAUUGGACCUGCGUUUGUGUUUGUGGUGGAUGCUUGUACGGAGGAGGAGGAGCUGAGUGCGGUUAAAAAUGAGCUCUUGUUGGUCAUUGAGCAGUUGCCAGAAAAUGCGCUGGUGGGCUUGGUUUCGUUUGAUUCAAUGGUUAGGGUUUAUGAACUGGGAUUCUCAGAGUGCUCGAGGGUGGUGGUUUUUCAUGGUGAACGUGAAGUUUCUUCAGACCAGAUACAACAAUUUAUGGGUAUACAUUGCACCAAAUUGCUGCAACUUGGAAAAAACCCAUUUGUUCAGAAUCAGGGAUUUUUGCUGCCUAUAUCUGAAUGUGAAUUCAAUAUCACUAAAGAAAUUGAAGAAAUUUGUUCCUUAGCAGUAGUCAUGCCAGGUCAUCGCCCUCAAAGGUGCACUGGAGCAGCAAUAUCAGUUGCACUUGGACUUCUUGAAGGAUGUUCAGUGCAUACAGGCUCCCGGAUUAUGGUCUUCACUUCUGGACCUGCAACUUUGGGCCCAGGGAUGAUUGUGGACUCAGACCUUAGUAAUGCCAUCAGAACUCAUAGAGACCUCAUCAAUGGUCAUACUUCUUACCAUAGAAAAUCUUGCAGCUUCUAU
RNAcentral lists this unclassified non-coding RNA (915 nucleotides) under Hevea brasiliensis (rubber tree). The record is from RNAcentral. Lineage: Eukaryota; Viridiplantae; Streptophyta; Magnoliopsida; Malpighiales; Euphorbiaceae.